UAGUCAACAUGAGAAGAGGGGCUAUAA
Molecule: small RNA, 27 nt
Filed under: Bombyx mori (domestic silkworm)
Lineage: Eukaryota; Metazoa; Arthropoda; Insecta; Lepidoptera; Bombycidae
Description: ovarian small RNA-22967
Source: RNAcentral